CGGACGGGUGAGUAACGCGUGGAAAACCUGCCGUAUACUGGGGGAUAACACUUAGAAAUAGGUGCUAAUACCGCAUAAGCACACAGCUUCGCAUGAAGCGGUGUGAAAAACUCUGGUGGUAUACGAUGGUUCCGCGUCUGAUUAGCUAGUUGGUGGGGUAAUGGCCUACCAAGGCAACGAUCAGUAGCCGGCCUGAGAGGGUGAACGGCCACAUUGGGACUGAGACACGGCCCAAACUCCUACGGAAGGCAGCAG
RNAcentral lists this ribosomal RNA (255 nucleotides) under uncultured bacterium. RNAcentral's name for it is "partial 16S ribosomal RNA". It matches the Rfam family "Bacterial small subunit ribosomal RNA", at positions 99 to 354 of the family's 1533-position model. The record is from RNAcentral.